RNAcentral lists this small nucleolar RNA (177 nucleotides) under Penaeus vannamei (Pacific white shrimp). Its description in RNAcentral is "Litopenaeus vannamei (Pacific white shrimp) Small nucleolar RNA SNORA23". The record is from Rfam by way of RNAcentral. Lineage: Eukaryota; Metazoa; Arthropoda; Malacostraca; Decapoda; Penaeidae.
UGUGUGUUGUGUGUGUGUGUGUGUGUGUGUGUUGUGUGUGUGUGUGUGUGUGUAUGUAUAUUUAUAUGCACACACACACACACACACACACACACACACACACACACACACCACACACACACACACACAUAUAUAUAUUAUAUAUAUAUAUAUAUAUAUAUAUAUAUAUAUAUAUAU